Molecule: long non-coding RNA, 1735 nt
Organism: Sycon ciliatum
Lineage: Eukaryota; Metazoa; Porifera; Calcarea; Leucosolenida; Sycettidae
Exons: 6
Source: RefSeq, a predicted model, not a curated record
UGCCAGGCCAGGCUGCGCUGCAGAUCUGCAGAGUGCAGUGCAGGGAUUUGAAAAAGUGAUAUCUUUGCAAAUUUGACUCCUGGGACAUUUUCCACUCUCUCGGAACUCGCAGACGAUUGCUCCAUCUAGUCUUCAGAUCACUAUGUGUAUCCUUCAUUAGUUCAGCUGCCCCAAUCUCCCAUUUAUCGGAAGUUGAUUUCUUCUGACAUUGCGGAAUGACAAGAGCGCAUUGUCUCGGCUGCGGUCGCUGCUGCAAGUCAUCCCGUGGUUUCGACCUGCAUAGCUGUGCUAAUUUCCUGUCCAGGAAGUAGAACGGCGUUUCUGGAUCCAAUGCUGAACUCAGUGCUGUCGACCCCUGCACAGGGGACACGUGACCAUUUGAUGGCAGUGUUACCAAGGACCAAGCAGCAGUUUGCACCCUUCCUUGUACUCAACACAGCAGCGGUUUGCACCCUUCCUGACCGAGGCCAUCGUGAACAUCUGGAGCUCCUGUCGCGAGCACGCCGAGUCUGACAUGAUGGUCUGGAAUGAUGUUCUGUGUUGUAAAAGUGGUGACCAUGGUGACACAAUGGAUUAACUCUCACACCAACCAGAUGACCUAGUGGACUUGAUCAUGUUGGCGCAGCAGUCUAGCGUGUCACAGGCAAGCACCAGCAUUCUCUGCUCCGCUACUGCAAGUGUUGAAAUGCAUGACCUCUUUGAAACAAGCACAACACAUCGAUUUUGUUCCGUUGCGCAGACGAAGGAGUGAUUAUCCAUACAAAUGCGGAAAGAUACGUAAGGUUGCUGAUAUGAUCAUCUCCUGCUGCUGCUCAUCUCUCCUUCAAGGGCUGUCAACACUGAUAUGAUCAUCUCCUGCUGCUCAUCUCUCCUUCAAGGGCUGUCAACACUGGUAUGAUCAUCUCCUGCUGCUCAUCUCUCCUUCAAGGGCUGUCAACACUGAUAUGAUCAUCUCCUGCUGCUCAUCUCUCCUUCAAGGGCUGUCAACACUGGUAUGAUCAUCUCCUGCUGUUGCUCAUCUCUCCUUCAAGGGCUGUCAACACUGAUAUGAUCAUCUCCUGCUGCUCAUCUCUCCUUCAAGGGCUGUCAACACUGGUAUGAUCAUCUCCUGCUGCUCAUCUCUCCUUCAAGGGCUGUCAACACUGGUAUGAUCAUCUCCUGCUGCUCAUCUCUCCUUCAAGGGCUGUCAACACUGAUAGCACUGCCACCACUGCUACCCCGCUCGCCCCUACUUCUGUACUAGCAGUAGCAGCGCUAGUCAUUAAGACUUCAUCACCAUGAUCUAAUCUGCACCAGCAGCCUCCUCUUGAUAGCUUACUCAACAACAUGCUGCACCAGCAGCCUCCUCUUGAUAGCUUACUCAACAACAUGCUGCUCACAUCCGGCGGUGACGAGCAGUUUAUUAUUAUUUAUUAAUAUUAUUAUUUGUGUCUGGACUGGACCAGGUCGCCGCAUUCUGGCUGUAGCGAAUUGGUGGAUUGGCUGUGAAUGUCUGCCCAGUUCCUUGACAGCACUGGUCUGGCCACCGUUGUUCCGGCUAUGUCUGCAUUUCUGAAGACGGUGAAUGCUCUGGCCUGCUCUGAUCUCUUUUUGGAUGGUCUUGGCUAGUCUUGGCUGGUCUUGGCUGGUCUUGGCUGAUCUUGGCUGUUUUCAAAACUAUUAUUAUUGCUAUUGCAUGUGAUCAACCUAUUUCUUGAUUCAAUGGGCACUUGUUUCUAGCAUGUCUUGACUUCAA